GUUGUUACCAUGGUUAAUAAGAUGGGAUUUUUUGCUGAGGCGGGUCCUGUGCAGAUAUUUGUGUCCAAUCAUUUGAUCCCGGAUGAUAUGGAGUUUCAAUCCGGAGAUGUGCCGAACUACACUACAUCCGAUGGAUCGGUUAAAAUUCAAAAAGAGAGCGAAGUGCGUUUGAAGAUUAUUGGCACACGUGUUGAUGCUACAGAAAUUUUCUGCAUUGGGACGAUAAAGGAUGACUUUUUGGGUGUCAUCAAUGACCCUGGUGCUGCUUCAUAGAGAUGAAAAGUGAAUUUGCUGGUGUAAUAUGG
This 305-nucleotide unclassified non-coding RNA is filed under the name Hevea brasiliensis (rubber tree). Lineage: Eukaryota; Viridiplantae; Streptophyta; Magnoliopsida; Malpighiales; Euphorbiaceae. The record is from RNAcentral.